Long non-coding RNA from Oncorhynchus tshawytscha (Chinook salmon), 305 nucleotides. The record is from Ensembl. Lineage: Eukaryota; Metazoa; Chordata; Actinopteri; Salmoniformes; Salmonidae.
GGGGUAAUAACAUUGGUGCUAGGGAGUGGGGUAAUAACAUUGGUGCUAGGGAGUGGGGUAAUAACAUCGGUGCUAGGGAGUGGGGUAAUAAUAGGGCAUUGGUGCUAGGGAGUGGGGUAAUAACAUUGGUGCUAGGGAGGAGGGUAAUAACAGGGCAUUGGUGCUAGAUAGUGGGGUAAUAACAGGGCAUUGGUGCUAGGGAGUGGGGUAAUAAGAGGGCAUUGGUGCUAGGGAGUGGGGUAAUAACAUUGGUGCUAGGGAGUGGGGUAAUAACUUUGGUGCUAGGAAGUGGGGUAAUAACAGGG